GCGAAAGGCUGAGGACCGGGUCCGGGCCGGGUUCCUGGUCGGGGAGCGGCUCCGGGCGGCAGCCAUGAGGCGGGACGUGCGCAUCCUGUUACUGGGCGAGGCCCAGGUGGGGAAGACGUCGCUGAUCCUGUCCCUGGUGGGCGAGGAGUUCCCCGAGGAGGUAAAGGGCACGCCCGCCGCGGGGGUGGGAGCGGGCCCAGCCGGGGGUCCCUGGUGAGCGCGCGGGUCCCUUGCAGGUCCCUCCCCGCGCGGAGGAGAUCACGAUCCCCGCGGACGUCACCCCGGAGAAGGUGCCCACCCACAUCGUGGACUACUCAGGUAGCGGCCGUAGCCUCCCGGGGGCCCGGCCCGGAGCGGUCCGGCGGGCCUGCUGGGUCUGCAGUGGGGUCUCUUUCUCCCCCUAGAAGCCGAGCAGACGGACGAGGAGCUGCGCGAGGAGAUCCACAAGGCAAACGUGGUGUGUGUGGUGUAUGACGUCUCCGAGGAGGCCACCAUUGAGAAGAUUCGAACUAAGUGGAUCCCACUGGUGAAUGGGGGGACCACGCGGGGGCCCAGUGGGCAACAAGUCAGACCUGCGGUCGGGGAGCUCCAUGGAGGCCGUGCUCCCCAUCAUGAGCCAGUUUCCGGAGAUCGAGACCUGCGUGGAGUGUUCGGCCAAGAACCUGAGAAACAUCUCAGAGCUGUUCUACUACGCCCAGAAGGCUGUCCUGCACCCCACAGCCCCUCUCUAUGACCCUGAGGCCAAGCAGUUGAGGCCCGCGUGCGCCCAGGCACUGACGCGCAUCUUCAGGCUCUCAGAUCAGGACCUGGACCAGGCGCUCAGUGACGAAGAGCUCAACGCUUUCCAGAAAUCCUGCUUUGGGCACCCCCUGGCCCCACAGGCCCUGGAGGACGUGAAGACGGUGGUGUGCAGGAACGUGGCGGGCGGCGUGUGGGAGGACCGACUGACCCUGGAUGGUUUCCUCUUCCUGAACACGCUCUUCAUCCAGCGCGGGCGGCACGAGACCACGUGGACCAUCCUGCGGCGCUUCGGCUACAGCGAUGCACUGGAGCUGACAGCCGACUAUCUCUUCCCUCCGCUCCACGUGCCCCCCGGCUGCAGCACUGAGCUCAACCACCUUGGCUACCAGUUUGUGCAAAGAGUAUUUGAGAAGCACGACCAGGUGAGAGCAUGGCGACUCCCCUGCCCCUGCCCCCGCCCCCUCCCCGGCACACACAUCACCGCAUCCCUCCUUCUGCAGGACCGAGACGGCGCCCUCUCGCCUGUGGAGCUGCAAAGCCUCUUCAGUGUGUUCCCAGCAGCCCCCUGGGGCCCCGAGCUCCCACGCACAGUCCGCACAGAGGCCGGCCGGUUGCCCCUGCACGGAUACCUCUGCCAGUGGACGUAAGUGCGGCCCACACCAUGCCCGCCCGCCGCACCACCCUUGCCACCGUAACACUGUGCCUCCCGCCCACCCCCAGCCUGGUGACCUACCUGGACGUCCGGAGCUGCCUUGGGCACCUAGGCUACCUGGGCUACCCCACCCUUUGUGAGCAGGACUCCCAGGCCCAUGCCAUCACAGGUAGGUACCCACCCUCUCUGGGCCUGGGCCCAGCAUCCUGGCAGCCGCCCUAACCCGUGUCUAUCCUCACAGUCACCCGUGAGAAGAGGCUGGACCAGGAGAAGGGACAGACGCAGCGGAGCGUCCUCCUGUGCAAGGUGGUGGGGGCCCGUGGAGUGGGCAAGUCUGCCUUCCUGCAGGCCUUCCUCGGCCGCGGCCUGGAGCACCAGGACACGAGGGAGCAGCCUCCCGGCUAUGCCAUCGACACAGUGCAGGUCAACGGGCAGGAGAAGUACUUGAUCCUCUGUGAGGUGGGCACAGAUGGUCUGCUGGCCACAUCGCUGGACGCCGCCUGUGACGUUGCCUGCUUGAUGUUUGAUGGCAGUGACCCAAAGUCCUUUGCACAUUGUGCCAGCGUCUACAAGCACCAUUACAUGGACGGGCAGACCCCCUGCCUCUUCGUCUCCUCCAAGGCCGACCUGCCCGAAGGUGUCGCGGUGUCUGGCCCAUCGCCAGCCGAGUUUUGCCGCAAGCACCGGCUACCCGCUCCCAUGCCGUUCUCCUGUGCUGGCCCAGCCGAGCCCAGCACCACCGUCUUCACCCAGCUCGCCACCAUGGCCGCCUUCCCACAUUUGGUCCACGCAGAGCUGCAUCCCUCUUCCUUCUGGCUCCGGGGGCUGCUGGGGGUUGUCGGGGCCGCUGUGGCCGCAGUCCUCAGCUUCUCACUCUACAGGGUCCUGGUGAAGAGCCAGUGAGGCCCCUGGUACCCAAGCCCCUCUCCUGACCUGGGUGUGGCUCGCUGCUGAGGCUCUGCAGGGGCAGCACAGCUGGGGUGCCGGCCAGGCUGCCAUUCCGGGAACGCCUUUGCGCCAGGACUUUUUGUUUCUGAAGGCAGUCGAUCUGCAGCGGGGCCUCAUGCUGCCAUGCACUGCCCUGGCUCCUGCCGGACCCCCAGGGUGGGCUGUGGCAGGUGGCUGAGCAGGAGCUCCCAGGUGCCGGCCACCGCUGUCAGGGAUUGCCCACCGCUGGGCAUCGUGUGUUGGGCUGGGGAGCACAGGUGUGGGAGCUGGUGACCCCAGACCCAGAAUUCUCAGGGCUCUACCCCCUUUCCUGGUCCUGGGUGGCCAGUGGGUAUGAGGAGGGCUGGAAGGCAGAGCUUUGGGCCAAAAGCAGGCGUUGGGUGGGGUCCCCCCUCAAGUUUGGAGCUGUUUCCGUGGUUGCAGUAGAGGACCGGAGGUUGGGUUCCUGAUUAAACUUCACUGUGUCUUUUCUAUCUUGGAUCCCAGUCUCUGAAGACAACUUGCCUUGAUUCAACCUAGAA
RNAcentral lists this small RNA (2862 nucleotides) under Pongo abelii (Sumatran orangutan). Its description in RNAcentral is "retained intron". The record is from RNAcentral. Lineage: Eukaryota; Metazoa; Chordata; Mammalia; Primates; Hominidae.